Molecule: long non-coding RNA, 353 nt
Organism: Nematolebias whitei (Rio pearlfish)
Lineage: Eukaryota; Metazoa; Chordata; Actinopteri; Cyprinodontiformes; Rivulidae
Exons: 3
Source: RefSeq, a predicted model, not a curated record
GAAACCGACACUUCCUGCUUUGCGAGUUUUUGCACUAAGGAGAAAUGUCUCUCUUUUCAACAUCUUUGCUUAAUUUGCCAAUCUUUUCUUUCACUGCUGAGGAGGAAAUCGCAGCGGCGAAUUCUCGAACUAAUAAACUUAAAAGGAUAAAAGUUCUUCCUUGAAGAAGAUCUCCACAGCUAUCAAGACUGCCCACUACUCCCAACUCCAGCUGCCAACUGGUCCUCCUGUACUGGCCCGCACAAGAGAUUUACAAAGAAGGCACAGACAAAGAACACAGGGAAUCCAUCCUGAACCUGCCAGCGAGGUGGUGGUGCGAAAGCCCAAAACUGUGGUGAAAAGAUGUUUGCACU